This 441-nucleotide ribosomal RNA is filed under the name uncultured bacterium. RNAcentral describes it as "partial 16S ribosomal RNA". It matches the Rfam family "Bacterial small subunit ribosomal RNA", at positions 338 to 795 of the family's 1533-position model. The record is from RNAcentral.
CCUACGGGGGGCAGCAGUGGGGAAUAUUGCACAAUGGGCGAAAGUCUGAUGCAGCAACGCCGCGUGAAGGAAGACGGUUUUCGGAUUGUAAACUUCUGUUUUUAGUGAAGAAUAAUGACGGAUACUAAGGAGCAAGCAACGGCUAACUACGUGCGAGCAGCCGCGGUAAUACGUAGGUGGGAAGCGUUGUCCGGAAUUACGGGGUGUAAAGGGAGCGUAGGCGGGCAGCUAAGUCAGCUGUGAAAGCUACGGGCUUAACCUGUAGACUGCAGUUGAAACUGGCUUUCUUGAGUGAAGUAGAGGUUGGCGGAAUUCCUGGUGUAGCGGUGAAAUGCGUAGAUAUUCGGAGGAACACCGAUUGCGAAGGCGGCCAACUGGGCUUUAACUGACGCUGAGGCUCGAAAGUGUGGGGAGCAAACAGGAUUAGAUACCCUGGUAGUC